Molecule: microRNA precursor, 60 nt
Filed under: Alligator mississippiensis (American alligator)
Lineage: Eukaryota; Metazoa; Chordata; Crocodylia; Alligatoridae
Description: Ami-Mir-22-P1b_pre stem-loop
Rfam family: mir-22 microRNA precursor family
Source: RNAcentral
AGUUCUUCAGUGGCAUGCUUUACGUCGUGUGCCAGCUAAAGCUGCCAGUUGAAGAACUGU